UGGACAGAUUAUUAUAUUCGACUGUAUUCACGGCGUGAAAUAGGGGAUUACACUGUUUUUAAAACGGAAAGUGAAUCAAUUAGCAUAAUAGACUCCU
MicroRNA precursor from Nicotiana attenuata, 97 nucleotides. It matches the Rfam family "MIR6152 microRNA precursor family". Lineage: Eukaryota; Viridiplantae; Streptophyta; Magnoliopsida; Solanales; Solanaceae. The record is from Rfam.